Molecule: transfer RNA, 65 nt
Filed under: Xylosandrus crassiusculus
Lineage: Eukaryota; Metazoa; Arthropoda; Insecta; Coleoptera; Curculionidae
Description: tRNA-Phe
Rfam family: tRNA
About the family: Transfer RNA (tRNA) molecules are approximately 80 nucleotides in length. Their secondary structure includes four short double-helical elements and three loops (D, anti-codon, and T loops).
Source: RNAcentral
ACUUAAAUAGCUCAAUAGUAGAGCAUAGUAUUGAAGAUACUAAGAUAGUUGAAAACUUUUAAGUA